UGGGAUUACAGGCAUGAGCUACCAUGCCCGGCCAUAAUAACAUAUGAAGUGAUACUCACAUACAUUCAAAAUUAUAUCUACUUCAGCAAAACACAGGAAGCAGUGAUACAGUCAAGAGAAAGCCAUUAAAUUAUGCCUAAUAAUAAUUUCUCAUGGGUCUGGGUUUUAAUUAUUGCCUAAGUGUAGACAUCAAUAGCUUAAAAUUUUGCUUACUUAAAAAAUGUGGCUGGGCAUGGUGGCUCACACCUGUAAUCCCAACGCUUUGGGAGGCCAAUCACGAGGUCGAGAGAUCAAGACCAUCUUGGCCAACAUGGUGAAACUCCGUCUCUACCAAAAAUACAAAAAUUAGCUGGGUGAGGUGGUGCAUGCCUGUAAUCCCAGAUACUCAGGAGACUGAGGCACGAGAAUCGCUUGAACCCAGGAGGUGGAGUUUGCAGUGAGACGAGAUCGCGCCACUGCACUCUAGCCUGGCCACAGAGCAAGACUCUGUCUAAAAAAGAAAAAAAAAAAGCUUAAUAUUAAAAUAAUUAAGGGAAUGAAUUCAGAGAAUCAAUUAAGUAAUUGAGGGCAUAAUAUUGGCCUCCAACUUGAGCAGAACCUAGCCAGUUCUUUAUGUGGAAGGUGCCUGAAAACCACCCUGUGUGACGCAAUAAGAAGAACAUUAAGCUAUUGAUCAAGCAGACUGUGGAAAGGUGAAUGCAGAAGUCAUUUGUCAUCCUUGGCAUUGUGUUAAUGGAAGUUUUGUCUACACGAAGAGGACAGACAUUGUUCUACCAGAGUAAGGGAAGAACUGGAUAUCUGAGAGCUAGUCCCGGAACGUGUCCUUUGGUUUCUAGGUCUCAAAGAAGAGUAAAUGUUAUUCAUGAAUGCCUUAAACCGGAAGUGCGUAAACGGCAUGUGUGAGUGUGUGUGUUUUCCCAGACCACGCAGCAUGAAAGCUAUUGUUUCUGCUUUUAAAAACGUAGUAGAAAUCGGUAUCUAUAGAGACCUAACUGCCUGCUAUGCUUACAAAUAUUCAUAUAUUUUGAACCCAUGAUUUCUAAAUUGGUAUGGUAAUUUAUAGAAUUAUAAAUGCUAACCAAUCUCUUAUCAUGGUAAAAGGCCACCUUCAGCAAAUGUAUAUACUAAAGAGGAUAGCUAAAAGUUGGUGGAAUAACACAGAUAAUCGCAUUGUGCAAAAGCAUUAUUCCUUACUACCCUUUAAAUUGAGAAGAAGAAACAUACCUGGCUUUUACAUUUUCUGGUUAAAUAAAAUAUCAUAUUUUGGGCUAUCUCCAAGAUAGCUAACAGAUGUGAGGAUUAUAAUAAUUGGAGAGUCAUGUAAGAUCUGGCUGCCAUAAAUGUCACUGAACAGCUUUUACAACAUUAUGAUAAAAUUAUAUGGCUAUACUGUCUAGAGAGACAGUGGUCACCAAAUGUGGGUUUUAAAAUAGAGAGUAGAGUUUGGCAAGUGGUGGAAAGGGAAGCCCCAAAUUCUUCUUUCUCCAUGGACACACUGACUCAACAACAAUACAUGGACUAAUUCACUUUGUGAGAAAUCUAGAAACCAAUUAGGAGAGGCGUCUCCACCUCAGGGAAAAAAACAGCUGCAUUCCAGUUGGUAGGAAAAUUUGUCACACAUACUCAUCAUCGUUCCUCCUCAUGGCUCAGCACAGCAAAACAGGGAGAAAACUCCCAGCUCCUGGCUUCCCCCUUUGAAGGGAAUUAGGAGACUGAAACGUCCAUUCAAUGUAUAGACAUUUCAGCGGACCCCCUAAAAGAUUGGUUUUUGUCUUGCCUGAAUCUAAGCAUUAAUGAAAAAGGACACGAUGUUGCAGAUCACUGAGAACAAAGGGGUGGUUUGGACUAGUCCAGCACUCACUUGCUAUAUAGUCCAUUUCCCAAGCUCAGCUCAGAAUGAGCAAGAGAAAACCCCAACCCUCGGCAUCUCCCUGCAGAGGGAAAGAGUUGGAGACUGUGAUCAAUACUCUGGGUUUCAG
This 1979-nucleotide long non-coding RNA is filed under the name Homo sapiens (human). Its description in RNAcentral is "HSALNT0085613". Lineage: Eukaryota; Metazoa; Chordata; Mammalia; Primates; Hominidae. The record is from RNAcentral.